AGGACGAACGCUGGCGGCGUGCUUAACACAUGCAAGUCGAACGAUGAAGCCUUCGGGUGGAUUAGUGGCGAACGGGUGAGUAACACGUGGGUGAUCUGCCUCGUACUUCGGGAUAAGCUUGGGAAACUGGGUCUAAUACCGGAUAUGACCAGGGGCUGCAUGGUUUCUGGUGGAAAGAUUUAUCGGUGCGAGAUGAGCCCGCGGCCUAUCAGCUUGUUGGUGGGGUAAUGGCCCACCAAGACUGUGAUCGGUA
Molecule: ribosomal RNA, 253 nt
Filed under: uncultured bacterium
Lineage: Bacteria
Description: partial small subunit ribosomal RNA
Rfam family: Bacterial small subunit ribosomal RNA
Source: RNAcentral